This 1072-nucleotide small RNA is filed under the name Arabidopsis thaliana (thale cress). RNAcentral's name for it is "ATSL222290". The record is from RNAcentral. Lineage: Eukaryota; Viridiplantae; Streptophyta; Magnoliopsida; Brassicales; Brassicaceae.
CCUUACAGGACACUCAUUAUAUUCUGGAGCAUUUAAUUUACAACUGGUAUAAGUGACUUCAUCACUUUAUUUGGGUCAGCAAAUGCGUCUGGCAAUUACAACGCUAAAUUCUAUAAUUAAAUUAUCUUUUGGACUCUUAAUAUACAUUCUUUACUCCGAGGAUCAUUGAUAAUUCAUUUCUUUUUAUCUUUUUUUCACCAGCUGUAUACAUUCUCCCCCUUAUGUUGGAAUAGCUGACUAUAUAAUAUGAUAGUGUUCAAAACGAGCGGUAUAUAAAUCCUUCUAGGAUGGCUUAGUUAUCAUUCAUAUCCAACAUGUAUACUUAUUCUCCUUUGAGGGUUCAUCUCAGCGUGCUGUGGUGGAGCACUUUUCACAUUCAAAGAUUUUAGAUGGAAACUAUUUGGUUUCUGACCCAAAACCAAUAAUGAUGGGGAAAACUAUUAAUUAUUCAUUGGCUUGAUGCGUAUCGAUAUUACUAAACCAUUUUGUGUAUGAACUUGAAUUUCAAAAUGUUAAACACUUAUCCCAACGGAUAUCCAAAAAUGGUUAUUAUAAAUAAACACUGAAAUACUCUUGUACUUUAAUCAAGAAAGUAAUCUCGCAAACUCUAUGUUGCGGGUUUAUAACAAGGAUAAAUAUGACCUUCUUGUCGAUGCAACAAUCGAGUCAAUGCGUCCCAUUGAAUCGAUGCAUCUUUUAUAGCCAUUAGGUAUCUAAAUAUCAUACAGUGGGUGAUCAAUCCAUAAUCAUCUCCUUGUAUAUACUUACGAAUAGAUAAAGUCCAAAUUAUUUUGACUCGUAAAAAAUCACAUUAUCAUAUUGCUUUCGGAGCAAGUAACAAUUGAUAAAUCAUUAGGGAGAAUCUUCUGGUUUUUCACCUAAUGUCCACAUAAUUCUCAAUACUUUCACAUCAUCAUUAAACCAGGAUGACCAAUCCGGUUAAGCCAAAUAUACUCUUGAAACUUUUAAUUCUUUUGAAACUUCUAGUUCUUUCAAAACUUCUAAUUUACUUUUCAUUGCUUAUCAGUUACUCCCUUAAUGAGAUCUUAUAAUCAAAAUUACUUCCAUAUAU